RNAcentral lists this long non-coding RNA (1314 nucleotides) under Buteo japonicus. RNAcentral's name for it is "lncRNA (ENSBJAG00000003665.1)". The record is from RNAcentral. Lineage: Eukaryota; Metazoa; Chordata; Aves; Accipitriformes; Accipitridae.
UGAUGGUUUCAGACACAUUUCUCUUCAUAUGUGAUAGCGUUUUUCUGUUUUAUGUGCUUUUACGAUUGAUCCAGUGACUGAAGCGACUGUGCUGGCAACCUCCUCCGUGGUAAUAACAACAAAUGACUCAGUAUGAACUUUGGAAGUGGAACAACCCAGAAGUUGCUUCAUACUCCAGUAGUUUGUGACAGAAGAUGGUGAUGGCCUUUAAAUGCAAAGGACUUUAAAAACCUACGUGGUUGUGAUGAUUGUUUUUGUUAUAUUACUGCAAAGUUUGCUGGAGUUUCCAAUAAACCAUCAAGGCCAGUUGUUGUUAUACUGGAAAGAAAAAAAAGAAACUUUUUUACCUGAGAAUUUUGAUGCUUGUUGUGUGGGAUAUAGAAGUUUACCAAAUCCUCGCUUCUUUGUUGGACUUUUCCUUUUGGUGGCCACAGAUUCCUUCCUGUGUGUUCCUUUACAUCCUUCCUGGGUGCUAUUGCAAGAGAGAUCUUUCCAGCCAGUGGCUGGGGAGUAACAAACAUUGGGAUUAGCCCUGUGUUUUCCCAUUCCAGACCCCAUAAAUAAAGGAAAGCACUGAACUUCUGAAGCCUUACACACAUGGCAGUUUUCCAUUGUCUGUGAGAACUGUAAAGGCAGAUAACUCCUAUGGAUUAAUUUGAGGACUGGAGGGACAUGGGAAGCACAAGAGAGUGAGAAUGGGACGUAGCCGCUAUCAGGAUGACUUUAUUAGCAAUAGUAUGUUUUUAAAUAAUAGCUGGGGGCUAUGCAGCCUGUCCUAUCUUGUAUUAGUCUGUCAGGCUUUCCACUACAGUUGUGUAAGCAAGCGUAUUUGUAGUUGGCUGUGGUGUUUGUAGUUGUGCUGUACUGUUUUAGUUGGAGAUCAAGCUCCUGGAAAAAACUUGAUCUCCUGCCACUAAAAUGUCCAAAAUAUGUAUUUAUCUUAUGUUACAUCUUUUGAAAUGCUCUUGGUCACUACCUGUGUGUAUCUUGUAAUUUAGUAUUAAAACUCUUUCUUUUUCCUGUUAAUUCAAAACAGAAUAUGUUGUCAGGUGUUGUUAAGACAGUAUUUCAUUUCAAAGAGUUAAGUACUGUAAACCUCUGUAUGCCUGCACAAAACAUCGAAACAUUGUUAAAUGGAGUUCAUAUGCUCACCUCCUUUUUAUUAGGACUGACAUUUAAUUGUUUUGCUAAUGAUGAGGAUGGGUAUUUUUGUUCUCUUUCCCUUUUUCUAAAUCUAGCUGUAGCCACAGUGUUUUGUGUGUAGUGGGCUGGGUUAUGCUUUCUUGGCUGACCAGGUGGUUUCUCUGAUGGGCG